AAUUUUUAAAUUAUUAUUUUUUUUAAUUAAUCUUUUAUUAAAAUAAAUAAAUUAAUUUUAAUUAUUUAAUAUGAAAAAAUAAGUUUUAAUUAUAGUAUAUUAAUAUUGAAAAAGAAUUAAAUAUUUAUUUUUAAGAAAAAUUUAUUUUUUGUACCUUGUGUAUCAGGGUUUAUUAAUAAAGAAAUUUGAAUAAAUUUAUCUCGAAUUUAAAAGAGCUAAAAGGUUAUAUUUUUUAUUGUGGAAUAAAUAUUAUUAAUAAUUUUUUAGUAAUGAAAUGUUAAUCGUUUUUAAAAAUAUCUAGUUUUUUAAGAAAUAAAUUUAAUUUAUUUAUUAUUAAUAAAAAGUUAAAUUUUUAAUUUUUUAUUAAUAAUAUUUAAUAUUUUUAGGGAUGAGCUUAAAAAUAUAUUUUUAUAUAUUUAUAAAUUAAAUAAAAUUGUAGAAUUAAAAUUUUUUAUCAAUAAAAAAAUGUUAAAAUUAAUUUAUAAUAAUAUAUUAUUUUUAUAUUUGUAUUAAAUUUUUUAUUAAAAUAUUAAUUUAAAUUUUUUAAAUUAAGUAAUGAUGAUAAAAUUAGUAUAAAUAUAUAUAAAAAUAUUGAUUAACUUUAGUUUAAUUAAAGGAAUUCGGCAAAUUAUUUUUUACCUGUUUAUUAAAAACAUGUCUUUUUGAGUAUAAUUUAAAGUCUAGCCUGCCCAAUGAUUAAUUUAAUGGCCGCGGUAUCUUGACCGUGCUAAGGUAGCAUAAUCAAUAGUUUUUUAAUUGAAAGCUGGAAUGAAGGGUUGGAUAAAAAAGUAGCUGUCUUUAUUUAAUUUAAUUAGAAUUUUAUUUUUAAGUUAAAAAGCUUAAAUUUUAUUAAAAGACGAGAAGACCCUAUAGAGUUUUAUAAUUAUUUUUAUUAAUAUUUUAAGAAUUUAUUUUAUUAAUAAAAAUAAUUAUUAAAUUGGGGUGAUUGAAAAAUUUAAUUAACUUUUUUUAUAUAUUUACAUUUAUAAGUGAUUAAUUGAUCCAUAUUUAAUGAUUAUAAGAUUAAAUUACCUUAGGGAUAACAGCGUUAUUUUUUUUAAGAGUUCAAAUCGAAAAAAAAGAUUGCGACCUCGAUGUUGGAUUAAAAUUAAUUUUUGGUGUAGGAGCUAAAAAAUUAGGUCUGUUCGACCUUUAAAAUUUUACAUGAUCUGAGUUUAAACCGGUGUAAGCCAGGUUGGUUUCUAUCUUUAAUAUAUAGUUAUACUUUAGUACGAAAGGAUUAAGUAUAA
Molecule: ribosomal RNA, 1250 nt
Filed under: Phratora sp. N57
Lineage: Eukaryota; Metazoa; Arthropoda; Insecta; Coleoptera; Chrysomelidae
Description: 12S ribosomal RNA
Rfam family: Archaeal large subunit ribosomal RNA (bases 597-1250)
Source: RNAcentral